Molecule: ribosomal RNA, 253 nt
Filed under: uncultured bacterium
Lineage: Bacteria
Description: partial 16S ribosomal RNA
Rfam family: Bacterial small subunit ribosomal RNA
Source: RNAcentral
UACGUAGGGUGCGAGCGUUGUUCGGAGUUACUGGGCGUAAAGCGUGCGUAGGCGGUGUCUUAAGUUUGUUGUGAAAUCUCCCGGCUUAACCGGGAGGGUGCGGCGAAUACUGAGAUGCUGGAGUGCCGGAGAGGUAAGCGGAAUUCCUGGUGUAGCGGUGAAAUGCGUAGAUAUCAGGAGGAACACCUGCGGUGUAGACGGCUUACUGGACGGUAACUGACGCUGAGGCACGAAAGCGUGGGUAGCAAACAGG